AUUGAACGCUGGCGGCAUGCCUUACACAUGCAAGUCGAACGGCAGCACGGGAGCAAUCCUGGUGGCGAGUGGCGAACGGGUGAGUAAUAUAUCGGAACGUGCCCAGUCGUGGGGAUAACGUAGCGAAAGCUACGCUAAUACCGCAUACGAUCUAUGGAUGAAAGCGGGGGAUCGCAAGACCUCGCGCGAUUGGAGCGGCCGAUAUCAGAUUAGGUAGUUGGUGAGGUAAAGGCUCACCAAGCCGACGAUCUGUAGCUGGUCUGAGAGGACGACCAGCCACACUGGGACUGAGACACGGCCCAGACUCCUACGGAGGCAGCAGUGGGGAAUUUUGGACAAUGGGCGCAAGACCUGAUCCAGCAAUAGCCGCGUGCAGGAUGAAGGCC
Molecule: ribosomal RNA, 386 nt
Filed under: uncultured bacterium
Lineage: Bacteria
Description: bacterial SSU rRNA
Rfam family: Bacterial small subunit ribosomal RNA
Source: RNAcentral